CCUACGGGAGGCAGCAGUGAGGAAUAUUGGUCAAUGGACGAGAGUCUGAACCAGCCAAGUAGCAUGAAGGAUGACUGCCCUCUGGGUUGUAAACUUCUUUUAUAAAGGAAUAAAACGAGGCACGUGUGCCUUUUUGCAUGUACUUUAUGAAUAAGGAUCGGCUAACUCCGUGCCAGCAGCCGCGGUAAUACGGAGGAUCCGAGCGUUAUCCGGAUUUAUUGGGUUUAAAGGGAGCGUAGAUGGGUUGUUAAGUCAGUUGUGAAAGUUUGCGGCUCAACCGUAAAAUUGCAAUUGAUACUGGCAGUCUUGAGUACAGUUGAGGUAAGCGGAAUUCGUGGUGUAGCGGUGAAAUGCGUAGAUAUCACGAAGAACCCCGAGUGCGAAGGCAGCUUACUAAACUGUGACUGACAUUGAUGCUCGAAAGUGUGGGUAGCAAACAGGAUUAGAUACCCGUGUAGUC
This 460-nucleotide ribosomal RNA is filed under the name uncultured bacterium. RNAcentral's name for it is "partial 16S ribosomal RNA". It matches the Rfam family "Bacterial small subunit ribosomal RNA", at positions 338 to 795 of the family's 1533-position model. The record is from RNAcentral.